This 216-nucleotide unclassified non-coding RNA is filed under the name plant metagenome. Its description in RNAcentral is "partial contains small subunit ribosomal RNA, internal transcribed spacer 1, and 5.8S ribosomal RNA". The stretch from base 1 to 54 matches the Rfam family "Eukaryotic small subunit ribosomal RNA", at positions 1778 to 1831 of the family's 1831-position model. The record is from RNAcentral.
GGAAGUAAAAAUCGUAACAAGGUUUCCGUAGGUGAACCUGCGGAAGGAUCAUUACAGAGUUCAUGCCCGAAAGGGUAGACCUCCCACCCUUGUGUAUUAUUACUUUGUUGCUUUGGCGAGCGCAAGCUCGCUAGAGAAUACCAAAACUCUUUUUAUUAAUGUCGUCUGAGUACUAUAUAAUAGUUAAAACUUUCAACAACGGAUCUCUUGGUUCUG